Molecule: ribosomal RNA, 585 nt
Filed under: uncultured bacterium
Lineage: Bacteria
Description: partial 16S ribosomal RNA
Rfam family: Bacterial small subunit ribosomal RNA
Source: RNAcentral
UGGGGAAUUUUGGACAAUGGGGGAAACCCUGAUCCAGCCAUCCCGCGUGUGCGAUGAAGGCCUUCGGGUUGUAAAGCACUUUUGGCAGGAAAGAAACGUCGCGGGUUAAUACCCCGCGGAACUGACGGUACCUGCAGAAUAAGCACCGGCUAACUACGUGCCAGCAGCCGCGGUAAUACGUAGGGUGCAAGCGUUAAUCGGAAUUACUGGGCGUAAAGCGUGCGCAGGCGGUUCGGAAAGAAAGAUGUGAAAUCCCAGAGCUUAACUUUGGAACUGCAUUUUUAACUACCGGGCUAGAGUGUGUCAGAGGGAGGUGGAAUUCCGCGUGUAGCAGUGAAAUGCGUAGAUAUGCGGAGGAACACCGAUGGCGAAGGCAGCCUCCUGGGAUAACACUGACGCUCAUGCACGAAAGCGUGGGGAGCAAACAGGAUUAGAUACCCUGGUAGUCCACGCCCUAAACGAUGUCAACUAGCUGUUGGGGUCUUCGGACCUUGGUAGCGCAGCUAACGCGUGAAGUUGACCGCCUGGGGAGUACGGUCGCAAGAUUAAAACUUAAAUGAAUUGACGGGGUCAUAGCUGUUUCCU